GACGAACGCUGGCGGCGUGCCUAAUACAUGCAAGUCGAACGGUCUUUUCUAUGGAAGCUUGCUUCCACUGAGAAGAUAGUGGCGAACGGGUGAGUAACACGUGGGUAACCUGCCCAUAAGAGGGGGAUAACAUCCGGAAACGGGUGCUAAUACCGCAUAGUUUUCUUGAUCGCAUGAUCGGGAAAGGAAAGACGGCCUUUGUGCUGUCGCUUAUGGAUGGACCCGCGGCGUAUUAGUUAGUUGGUGAGGUAACGGCUCACCAAGACGAUGAUACGUAGCCGACCUGAGAGGGUGAUCGGCCACAUUGGGACUGAGACACGGCCCAAACUCCUACGGGAGGCAGCAGUAGGGAAUCUUCCGCAAUGGACGAAAGUCUGACGGAGCAACGCCGCGUGAGUGAAGAAGGUUUUCGGAUCGCAAAACUCUGUUGUCAGAGAAGAACAAGUUGGAGAGUAACUGCUCCAGCCUUGACGGUAUCUGACCAGAAAGCCACGGCUAACU
RNAcentral lists this ribosomal RNA (501 nucleotides) under uncultured bacterium. RNAcentral's name for it is "bacterial SSU rRNA". It matches the Rfam family "Bacterial small subunit ribosomal RNA", at positions 28 to 502 of the family's 1533-position model. The record is from RNAcentral.